Molecule: long non-coding RNA, 2701 nt
Organism: Biomphalaria glabrata
Lineage: Eukaryota; Metazoa; Mollusca; Gastropoda; Planorbidae
Exons: 3
Source: RefSeq, a predicted model, not a curated record
GGAUAUGUGCAUAUAUUUAUACACUUUUUGGGUUUUCACACAACAAGAUUGCAUCUCUACAGUGAAUUUGUUUUCAAUCUUUCAACAACCUCAUCGCUCCUGUGAAUGAAAGCAACAACAUCUUAGUGGAUAUGCUAGAAUGAAUGUUGACUGUAAAGUGUUUACUUCUUACAAUUGGUCAAAUGCAGGCCACAAGUUUCACUUCAAGAAUUUCAGAUUGACACUUGUGGUGUCCGAAUAUUAACUUGAAGUGCAUGUUUGUAAGAUUGAAAAACGUAGAAAAUAUUAUUGGAUAAAAAUAUACCGGUAUUUGAUAUUGUGUAAAUAUAAAUCUGUUCAAAGUAUCCAAUUAUGCUUUGUUUUUGUUUUUUUUUUAUAUAUAUUUAGUACCAGGUAAUGGUGACUCAGAAUAGGCUGCAAAAAUCACUAAAAAAAAACUUAGUUUAAAUGUGUUGUUUUUUUUUCUUUUUAAUUUAGCUUCAAUUUGCUAAAAGGGGUAUUUGAAAAUAAAAAUAAAGCAAAUAUUCCAUCAUCAUCUUUCCAUAGCGUUCCUGGUGGAACAUAGCGCCUCAGUAAAAACAACUCACCACUCUCUCUUGCUAGUUUUUUAAUGGCUUCUCAGCUCUGUCCACUCAGCUUCAUCAAUUAUUUAAUGCUUCACUAAAACAAAAGGUACAUAGUGUUGUGUGUCAGAGUCAUCAGGCAGUGCUCAAAGUAGUAACUUGUAUUGGACUUUUUGUGAGGAAACUUCCUAUGUGAUACAGUAUUGCUAUUAAACUUUCUAUCAGUGUAGUUUGUGUUUUGAACUUUCUUGGAAGUAUGAACUGUUGUUGAACAAUGAGAAGAACUGAACUUUUGUUCUAUGGACUUUUAAUGACUUUUUGUUCCAACAACUUGGAUGGAAGAAGGGAUACAUCACACAACAUAAGAUAUAUGUUUGUAUUGUCUUUCCCUUGGCCAUGUAAAUUGUAUAGACUAAGACAGUAGGAAAGUCUGGACUGAAAAAAAUUGAUUGACAAUUUUUUUUUGAUAAGGGGGGGAGGAAAUAUGUUAUAGACUUUACUGGGAAUUUGACGAGAUUAUAAUUAGACUAUUUUAGACGGACAUAGGAAUUAUGGGAAUUAACUAAAUAAGGAAUUAUGGGAUAGAUUUUAACGGUAGCAGACAUUAGUAGGAUAACAACAACGACUCACUCCUCUUAGUUAAUGGCGAGACCUUCUUUUGUAGUAACUGUCGACAUUUGGAUUGUGCCCCUUUCAUAUUAGAUUAAAGUUGUCUAUUAAGAUUAAUACCGUUUUCUUAAGUAUAUUCUACAUGUUGUUAUAUGUUGUUGGUUGAACGAACUCCAUCUAGACUUAAAUCUACAUCUCAUACAUCUGUAAUCUGUUCUACUAAACAACCCACAACAGUAUAGUUUCUUUUGAGUGAAAUUAAAAAAAAAAAGAACUGAUUCUGGGGCAUGGUCCACCAGUCAGCUUCCUUCAGGCAUCUCAGUUUUGGGCGAGUCUCUCCAACUGUCCCUACAUCUUGCACUUCUGCUUGGUAUCUGCCUCCAAAUUGCUGCACCAUGAGACUUAUACCAGUAAGGAAAAUAACUUGUGGAUAUUGUUAUUAUCAAUUUUAACUUUUUUAUUACAAAAAAUUUAAACACCAAUUCAUCAUUGAGAUUUUUGGAUUUCAGUUAGGUUUCAUUUAUUUUUGUGUACAUUACAUACUGGUACACAAAUACAAUUUGCAUAAAGCUCAAGCAAGUCAGUUUCAAUAUAAUCUGGGAAAUGUCAAUGUGAGCAAGUUUUUACUGAUCUAGUUUACUUUAAUGCUCAGGUGUAGGAAGUUAUUUGUAUUGCAAGCAGAUUUGAAAAAUGAAAAAAAAAAACAUUUAUGGGGGGGGGGGGAAUAUACAUACUAUAUUUAGAGUCAUUAAACCAAACCCUAAAAGUAUGACAAAUCAUUAUGACUCAAAUGAACCUUAAAAAAAAAAAAAACUAGUAAGAAUAUAUAAUGAAUGAAUCAGUAUAAUAUAACUUACAGAAUCUGGCACUUAAAGCAACCAAUGAGCCAGGCAGAUUAUCAGAAGAAUCCAUUAAAAAUGGGGACUUGGUAUCCUCACAGAAUGACCCAAUGGAGAAAGUCUAGAUAGGUUUCAUUCAUUCAUUCAUUCUUUCAUUCAUUAUCUCAUGUUAUUAUCCUCCAUUUACAACUUCUUGUGUGACUUAAGAAGUCAAUCCUUAAUACACAGCUGCAUCACAGAUUGAGCAUCUGUCAUCACUGUCGGUGCGUAGAUUAUGGCAUUCUAGCACCAAUGUGUAUUAAGUGCACAAUUUGUGAACGCACUUUCUUUUUGUUGCCUUGCUUGUAAGCUGAUGGAGUGUUUUUGUUAUGCUGGAGUAACGUUUGUUGAGAUUCUUCUGUGUUCCCCUGUUUAGGGGAGUUAGUUUGGGAUUGGAAGUCUACGCUGGUGACUAGAGACAGCAGUGUUGAUGGCAUAUUUAACCUGUUGUGGUUUUCGAACAUUAAUGUGUACGUUGUGGGACAGCAAGGUGUAGAAUUAUUAUUUAAUUAAUAGAUCCACAAUAUUAUAAUGUUCAUCAUUAAACAUUUACAUUGUCAACAGUGAGUCACUUAUUUAUUGCAAGCACGAAGGUGCCUGGUUGAAUGUCAGGGGCCCGGGCAAACGAGCUAAGGCCUUAACAUAACCCUG